GCUUCUUCCACCACGAUAUAGCCUUCGGCUUUGUCAAAGGCUUCGGCGAGACUCUUCGGGUGGUUAAACAUAAGUUUUUUCACCAACUUUUCCGAUUUAACCAGAUCUAGCCCGUUCUGAAACAGUCCCACAGCUUGUAAAUCAUUCAAGUCUGCCACUUGGCCGACUGCUUCCCGGAACCGCUUCACAUACUGGCCCAAAGAUUCAUUAGAAGAUUGCCGAACCUGAGCCAAUGAACCAGUUGGUUUUCCCCUUCUUCUGUUGCUCCCAAAGCGAGCAUGAAACUUGCUGCACAUGUCCUCCCAAGAAGAGAUUGAAUCCGAGGGUAAGGUCCCCAUCCACUG
Molecule: long non-coding RNA, 344 nt
Filed under: Panax ginseng (ginseng)
Lineage: Eukaryota; Viridiplantae; Streptophyta; Magnoliopsida; Apiales; Araliaceae
Description: long non-coding RNA (PGIN_LNC014661)
Source: RNAcentral